CCUACGGGCGGCAUCAGUGGGGAAUAUUGGACAAUGGGGGGAACCCUGAUCCAGCCAUGCCGCGUGUGUGAAGAAGGCCCUCGGGUUGUAAAGCACUUUCAGUGAGGAAGAACGCCUGGUGGUUAAUACCCAUCAGGAAAGACAUCACUCACAGAAGAAGCACCGGCUAACUCCGUGCCAGCAGCCGCGGUAAUACGGAGGGUGCGAGCGUUAAUCGGAAUUACUGGGCGUAAAGCGCGCGUAGGUGGCUUGAUAAGCCGGUUGUGAAAGCCCCGGGCUCAACCUGGGAACGGCAUCCGGAACUGUCAAGCUAGAGUGCAGGAGAGGAAGGUAGAAUUCCCGGUGUAGCGGUGAAAUGCGUAGAGAUCGGGAGGAAUACCAGUGGCGAAGGCGGCCUUCUGGACUGACACUGACACUGAGGUGCGAAAGCGUGGGUAGCAAACAGGAUUAGAUACCCGUGUAGUC
This 465-nucleotide ribosomal RNA is filed under the name Vreelandella stevensii. Its description in RNAcentral is "partial 16S ribosomal RNA". It matches the Rfam family "Bacterial small subunit ribosomal RNA", at positions 338 to 795 of the family's 1533-position model. Lineage: Bacteria; Pseudomonadati; Pseudomonadota; Gammaproteobacteria; Oceanospirillales; Halomonadaceae. The record is from RNAcentral.